CCUACGGGGGGCAGCAGUGAGGAAUAUUGGUCAAUGGACGAGAGUCUGAACCAGCCAAGUAGCGUGAAGGAUGACUGCCCUAUGGGUUGUAAACUUCUUUUAUAAAGGAAUAAAACGAGGCACGUGUGCCUUUUUGCAUGUACUUUAUGAAUAAGGAUCGGCUAACUCCGGGCCAGCAGCCGCGGUAAUACGGAGGAUCCGAGCGUUAUCCGGAUUUAUUGGGUUUAAAGGGAGCGUAGAUGGGUUGUUAAGUCAGUUGUGAAAGUUUGCGGCUCAACCGUAAAAUUGCAAUUGAUACUGGCAGUCUAGAGUACAGUUGAGGUAGGCGGAAUGCGUGGUGUAGCGGUGAAAUGCUUAGAUAUCACGAAGAACCCCGAUUGCGAAGGCAGCUUACUAAACUGUGACUGACAUUGAUGCUCGAAAGUGUGGGUAUCAAACAGGAUUAGAUACCCGAGUAGUC
This 460-nucleotide ribosomal RNA is filed under the name uncultured bacterium. RNAcentral describes it as "partial 16S ribosomal RNA". It matches the Rfam family "Bacterial small subunit ribosomal RNA", at positions 338 to 795 of the family's 1533-position model. The record is from RNAcentral.